This 594-nucleotide ribosomal RNA is filed under the name uncultured bacterium. Its description in RNAcentral is "bacterial SSU rRNA". It matches the Rfam family "Bacterial small subunit ribosomal RNA", at positions 76 to 667 of the family's 1533-position model. The record is from RNAcentral.
GUCUUCGGAUGCUGACGAGUGGCGAACGGGUGAGUAAUACAUCGGAACGUGCCCGAGAGUGGGGGAUAACGGAGCGAAAGCUUUGCUAAUACCGCAUACGAUCUACGGAUGAAAGCAGGGGACCGCAAGGCCUUGCGCUCAUGGAGCGGCCGAUGGCAGAUUAGGUAGUUGGUGGGAUAAAAGCUUACCAAGCCGACGAUCUGUAGCUGGUCUGAGAGGACGACCAGCCACACUGGGACUGAGACACGGCCCAGACUCCUACGGGAGGCAGCAGUGGGGAAUUUUGGACAAUGGGCGAAAGCCUGAUCCAGCCAUGCCGCGUGCAGGAUGAAGGCCUUCGGGUUGUAAACUGCUUUUGUACGGAACGAAAAGACUCUGGUUAAUACCUGGGGUCCAUGACGGUACCGUAAGAAUAAGCACCGGCUAACUACGUGCCAGCAGCCGCGGUAAUACGUAGGGUGCAAGCGUUAAUCGGAAUUACUGGGCGUAAAGCGUGCGCAGGCGGUUAUAUAAGACAGAUGUGAAAUCCCCGGGCUCAACCUGGGAACUGCAUUUGUGACUGUAUAGCUAGAGUACGGUAGAGGGGGAUGGAAU